CCUGCGGAAGGAUCAUUGUCGAACCCUCGCGGUAGAAUGACUUGCCAACCUGUACCAAUUAUUGAUUCGAGUGUCGGGGUGCUGUCUUUCUGAUUUGCCCAGACGAACAAAAACACCGGCGCAGCAGCGCCAAGGAAUAUAAUAAUGAGUGUGCAACCUUGCAGAGCUCAAUUAUGUUGCCUGUGAGCUUCGCAUCCUUUUAAUAAAAAUGACUCUCGGCAAUGGAUAUCUCGGCUCUUGCAUCGAUGAAGAACGUAGCGAAAUGCGAUACUUGGUGUGAAUUGCAGAAUCCCGUGAACCAUCGAAACUUUGAACGCAAGUUGCGCCUCAAGCCAUUGGGUUGAGGGCACGUCUGCUUGGGUGUCAUGCACUAUGUCUCCCCUCUCGUGUGUGGAGUGGGAAUAGAUCCUGGCCUCCUGGGCCCUUCCUUGGGCGUGGUUGGCCGAAAAUGUUGUCCUGGAUUUUGUUGAUGUCUUGGUGAGCGGUGGAUGUGCCAGGGGUGCAUAGUUGCCAGCCUUGCUCGACUUCAUUGUGGCGUUGGGAUCCUAUGAAGCUGCCGUUUUUUGCUCUUUGAUUGCGAACCCAAGUCAGGCGAGACUAC
This 601-nucleotide ribosomal RNA is filed under the name Cuscuta pentagona. RNAcentral's name for it is "eukaryotic LSU rRNA". The stretch from base 211 to 366 matches the Rfam family "5.8S ribosomal RNA". Lineage: Eukaryota; Viridiplantae; Streptophyta; Magnoliopsida; Solanales; Convolvulaceae. The record is from RNAcentral.